AGAGUUUGAUUAUGGCUCAGGAUGAACGCUGGCGGCGUGCUUAACACAUGCAAGUCGAACGCUGAAGCCCCAGCUUGCUGGGGUGGAUGAGUGGCGAACGGGUGAGUAACACGUGAGUAACCUUCCCUUGACUCUGGGAUAAGCCCGGGAAACUGGGUCUAAUACCGGAUACGACCUCCUGCCGCAUGGUGUGGGGGUGGAAAGAUUUAUCGGUUUUGGAUGGACUCGCGGCCUAUCAGCUUGUUGGUGAGGUAAUGGCUCACCAAGGCGACGACGGGUAGCCGGCCUGAGAGGGUGACCGGCCACACUGGGACUGAGACACGGCCCAGACUCCUACGGGAGGCAGCAGUGGGGAAUAUUGCACAAUGGGCGCAAGCCUGAUGCAGCGACGCCGCGUGAGGGAUGACGGCCUUCGGGUUGUAAACCUCUUUCAGUAGGGAAGAAGCGAAAGUGACGGUACCUGCAGAAGAAGCGCCGGCUAACUACGUGCCAGCAGCCGCGGUAAUACGUAGGGCGCGAGCGUUAUCCGGAAUUAUUGGGCGUAAAGAGCUCGUAGGCGGUUUGUCGCGUCUGCCGUGAAAGUCCGGGGCUUAACCCCGGAUCUGCGGUGGGUACGGGCAGACUAGAGUGCAGUAGGGGAGACUGGAAUUCCUGGUGUAGCGGUGAAAUGCGCAGAUAUCAGGAGGAACACCGAUGGCGAAGGCAGGUCUCUGGGCUGUUACUGACGCUGAGGAGCGAAAGCAUGGGGAGCGAACAGGAUUAGAUACCCUGGUAGUCCAUGCCGUAAACGUUGGGCACUAGGUGUGGGGGACAUUCCACGUUCUCCGCGCCGCAGCUAACGCAUUAAGUGCCCCGCCUGGGGAGU
RNAcentral lists this ribosomal RNA (865 nucleotides) under uncultured bacterium. Its description in RNAcentral is "bacterial SSU rRNA". It matches the Rfam family "Bacterial small subunit ribosomal RNA", at positions 8 to 881 of the family's 1533-position model. The record is from RNAcentral.